GAAGAUGAUGAUGAAAAAACAAGGAAAAAAGUGCACGUGCACUAAAAAUAGAAAAAAAUGUUAUUAGGUUUAUAUAUAGACUUGCUUACAUGUAUAGGCGAUUUGAGCAUCAGAAACUUAUACAUUGUACAACACUUCGUUAAUUAAUAAAAAAAAAAAGAAAAAUAACUUAAUAUUUAAAUUAUAUAAUUAUAUGGUCCGGAACAUCUACACUGC
Molecule: long non-coding RNA, 216 nt
Filed under: Mytilus galloprovincialis (Mediterranean mussel)
Lineage: Eukaryota; Metazoa; Mollusca; Bivalvia; Mytilida; Mytilidae
Source: RNAcentral